CUAGUUGAUCCUGCCAGUAGCACAUGCUUGUCUCAAAGAUUAAGCCAAACAUGUCUAUGUACGCAGGGCUGGUAAAGGGAAAGUGCAAGUGGCUCCUUAAAUCAGUUAUGGUUCCUUUGAUCGCUCCCUCCUCUCCUACAUAGAUAAGUAGAUAACUGCUAAUUCUAGAGCGAAUAUAUAUGCGGAGGGCCUCCAACCCCCUUCGCUGGAGGGACCUGCCAGCAUUUAUUAGAUCAAAACCAACUUGGCCAGCCUGGAGGGCAGGUGGGGAGGGGAAGAGGGUUUGGUGAUUCUAGAUAACCUCUGGCCUCUCAAACCCCACCCCACCGGUGGCUUCGACCCAUUACAACAUUGCCCUAUUUAGGACUGAGUAGAUAAUGAAUGGCCUACCAUGGUGAGCACGGGUGAUGGGAAAUAAGGGUUUUAUUUCAGAGAGAGAGUCUAAGAAAAGGCUACCACGUCUAAGGAAGGCAGCACAUUACCCACUUCUGACUUACGAGGUAGUUACAAGAAAAAGUUAAAAGAAAAGAAAAAAAAAAAACCCGCACGUAAGCCAUGAUU
Molecule: non-coding RNA, 561 nt
Filed under: Camelus ferus (Wild Bactrian camel)
Lineage: Eukaryota; Metazoa; Chordata; Mammalia; Artiodactyla; Camelidae
Description: Eukaryotic small subunit ribosomal RNA
Rfam family: Eukaryotic small subunit ribosomal RNA
Source: Rfam by way of RNAcentral